GCCGACGUAGCUCAACGGAAGAGCAGCUGAUUUGUAAUCAGCAGGUUGGGGGUUCGAUUCCCUUCGUCGGCUCCA
This 75-nucleotide transfer RNA is filed under the name Firmicutes bacterium ML8_F2. RNAcentral's name for it is "tRNA-Thr". It matches the Rfam family "tRNA". Rfam says of the family: Transfer RNA (tRNA) molecules are approximately 80 nucleotides in length. Their secondary structure includes four short double-helical elements and three loops (D, anti-codon, and T loops). The record is from RNAcentral. Lineage: Bacteria; Bacillati; Bacillota. RNAcentral also lists the same sequence under 1 other name.